UACGUAGGGGGCGAGCGUUGUUCGGAUUUACUGGGCGUAAAGAGCGCGUAGGCGGUUCGGUCCGUCGGCCGUGAAAGCCCUCGGCUCAACCGAGGAGCCGCGGCCGAGACCACCGAACUUGAGGGCAGGAGAGGAGAGCGGAAUUCCAGUGUAGCGGUGAAAUGCGUAGAGACUGGGAGGAACACCGGUGGCGAAGGCGGCACUCUGGGCCGGUACUGACGCUGAGGAGCGAAAGCGUGGGGAGCAAACAGG
Molecule: ribosomal RNA, 252 nt
Filed under: uncultured bacterium
Lineage: Bacteria
Description: partial 16S ribosomal RNA
Rfam family: Bacterial small subunit ribosomal RNA
Source: RNAcentral